This is a long non-coding RNA of Xenia sp. Carnegie-2017, 300 nucleotides long. RefSeq lists it as uncharacterized. The record is from RefSeq and is a predicted model, not a curated record. NCBI's taxonomy places the organism in Eukaryota, Metazoa, Cnidaria, Anthozoa, Malacalcyonacea, Xeniidae. The transcript has 2 exons.
AUGGCGGAAAACGUUCGACGUUCAGCAUCUUAUGAUAUAUUAAAUGACGAACAAAAAAAAAGAUCUUGAGGGAUUAUUAUGAUCGAGGAAUGAUUUCAACAGCAGGUAGUAUGAGGGAUGUCAUCCAAGAAGCUGCGAACCAAGCUAAUAUCACGUUUGAAAGAGUCAAGGCCCAGGGAUGCUUUUGCUGAUGGUAAGAGAGUUGUGUUGUAUAAGGAGGCUCUUGUUCAUCACGAGAGAGGUACGAGAAAGUUAUAUUGUAAAAGGUGAAAAGUAAAAGCACGUACAAACAUUCUUAGA